AACGCUAGCUACAGGCUUAACACAUGCAAGUCGAGGGGCAGCAUGAUUGAAGCUUGCUUCAAUUGAUGGCGACCGGCGCACGGGUGAGUAACACGUAUCCAACCUUCCGUACACUCAGGGAUAGCCUUUCGAAAGAAAGAUUAAUACCUGAUGGUAUCUUAAGCACACAUGUAAUUAAGAUUAAAGAUUUAUCGGUGUACGAUGGGGAUGCGUUCCAUUAGGUAGUAUGCGGGGUAACGGCCCACCUAGCCGGCGAUGGAUAGGGGUUCUGAGAGGAAGGUCCCCCACAUUGGAACUGAGACACGGUCCAAACUCCUACGGGAGGCAGCAGUGAGGAAUAUUGGUCAAUGGGCGAGAGCCUGAACCAGCCAAGUAGCGUGAAGGAUGAAGGUCCUACGGAUUGUAAACUUCUUUUAUACGGGAAUAAAGUUUCCUACGUGUGGGAUUUUGUAUGUACCGUAUGAAUAAGCAUCGGCUAACUCCGUGCCAGCAGCCGCGGUAAUACGGAGGAUGCGAGCGUUAUCCGGAUUUAUUGGGUUUAAAGGGAGCGCAGACGGGAGAUUAAGUCAGUUGUGAAAGUUUGCGGCUCAACCGUAAAAUUGCAGUUGAUACUGGUUUCCUUGAGUGCAGUUGAGGCAGGCGGAAUUCGUGGUGUAGCGGUGAAAUGCUUAGAUAUCACGAAGAACUCCGAUUG
This 694-nucleotide ribosomal RNA is filed under the name uncultured bacterium. RNAcentral describes it as "bacterial SSU rRNA". It matches the Rfam family "Bacterial small subunit ribosomal RNA", at positions 32 to 715 of the family's 1533-position model. The record is from RNAcentral.